This 486-nucleotide ribosomal RNA is filed under the name Triticum aestivum (bread wheat). RNAcentral's name for it is "partial small subunit ribosomal RNA". Lineage: Eukaryota; Viridiplantae; Streptophyta; Magnoliopsida; Poales; Poaceae. The record is from RNAcentral.
GCUGCGAGAUCGAAGAAACCACCAGCGGGCCAUCACAAAAUUCAUGUUGAUGCAGGGGUGCGGGCCAGAAGAGGGGGCUCUACUGCGGCAGUAUGUAGAGAUGAAAGCGGAAAUUAUAUUGGCAGCUCGGCUCUCGUAGUAGAAGGAAUUUUUGAUCCCCCAACCCUGGAAGCUAUUGCAUGUCGGGAAGCCUUGUCUCUUGCGGAGGAUUUGGGCAUCCGUCGGUUCAUAGUGGCCUCGGACUGUCGUCAGGUCGUUCUCGAUAUCAACAGGGGGUCAAGAGGUGUCUAUGGCGCUGUCAUUAGUGAGAUCAACAUCCUAGCUGCUACUUUAUCUUGUAAUUUUUGCUUUGAAACCCGUGCUGCUAAUUAUGAAGCACAUCGUUUAGCUAAGUUUGCUCUUUCUAGAGGUCCGGUGCGCCAUGUAUGGUUCGGUGUUCCCCACGACCAAACUUGUCUCCCACUCCAUGUGGAGUUUGAUGAAUAA